UACAGAGGUCUCAAGCGUUGUUCGGAUUCAUUGGGCGUAAAGGGUGCGUAGGUGGCGCGGUAAGUCGGGUGUGAAAUCUCGGAGCUUAACUCCGAAAUUGCAUUCGAUACUGCCGCGCUUGAGGACUGGAGAGGAGACUGGAAUUUACGGUGUAGCAGUGAAAUGCGUAGAGAUCGUAAGGAAGACCAGUGGCGAAGGCGGGUCUCUGGACAGUUCCUGACACUGAGGCACGAAGGCCAGGGGAGCAAACGGG
RNAcentral lists this ribosomal RNA (253 nucleotides) under uncultured bacterium. RNAcentral describes it as "partial 16S ribosomal RNA". It matches the Rfam family "Bacterial small subunit ribosomal RNA", at positions 524 to 776 of the family's 1533-position model. The record is from RNAcentral.